GAUGAACGCUGGCGGCGUGCUUAAUACAUGCAAGUCGAGCGAACAGACAGAGAGCUUGCUCCUCCGACUUUAGCUUCGGUCGGGUUAGUUACACGAUGGUACCCUACCUCUUAGACUAGCAUAACUUCGGGAAACCAUAGCCUCUGCCGAACGAUAUAUUUACCAUCAUGGUCAUAUAUUCAACGUCGUCUUUACUUUCACUUAUAGAUGGAUCCGCGCCGCAUUAGCUACUUGUUACGGUAACGGCUUACCAAGGCCACGCUGCGUAGCCGACCUUAACGGGUGAUCGGCCACACUGGAACUGAGACACGGUCCAGACUCCGACGGGAAGAAGCAGUAGGGAAUCUUACGCAAGGGGCGAAAGGCGGACGGAGCAACGCGGCGUGAAUGAUGAAGGUGUUCGGAUCGUAAAACGCUGUUAUUAGGGAAGAACAAAUGUGGAAGUAACUAGGAAGGUCUUGACGGUACCUAAUCAGAAAGCCACGGCUAACUACGUG
RNAcentral lists this ribosomal RNA (497 nucleotides) under uncultured bacterium. RNAcentral's name for it is "partial 16S ribosomal RNA". It matches the Rfam family "Bacterial small subunit ribosomal RNA", at positions 28 to 507 of the family's 1533-position model. The record is from RNAcentral.